This 466-nucleotide ribosomal RNA is filed under the name uncultured bacterium. Its description in RNAcentral is "partial 16S ribosomal RNA". It matches the Rfam family "Bacterial small subunit ribosomal RNA", at positions 28 to 507 of the family's 1533-position model. The record is from RNAcentral.
GACGAACGCUGGCGGCGUGCUUAACACAUGCAAGUCGAACGGAAAGGCCCUGCUUGCAGGGUACUCGAGUGGCGAACGGGUGAGUAACACGUGGGUGAUCUGCCCUGCACUUCGGGAUAAGCUUGGGAAACUGGGUCUAAUACCGGAUAGGAACCAUCUUUAGUGUGGUGGUUGGAAAGUUUUUUCGGUGUAGGAUGAGCUCGCGGCCUAUCAGCUUGUUGGUGGGGUAAUGGCCUACCAAGGCGGCGACGGGUAGCCGGCCUGAGAGGGGGUACGGCCAGCGUUGGGCGGGGAAACGGCCCCGAAUCCCACGGGGGGCAGCAGGGGGGAAUAUUGGACAAUGGGCGCAAGGCUGAUGCAGCGGAGCCGCGUGGGGGAUGAAGGCCUUCGGGGUGGAAACUCCUUUCGCUAGGGACGAAGCUUUGUUGUGACGGUACCUAGAUAAGAAGCACCGGCUAACUACGUG